Molecule: ribosomal RNA, 417 nt
Filed under: uncultured bacterium
Lineage: Bacteria
Description: bacterial SSU rRNA
Rfam family: Bacterial small subunit ribosomal RNA
Source: RNAcentral
GACGAACGCUGGCGGCGUGCCUAAUACAUGCAAGUCGAGCGAGCUGAAUUCACAGAUCUCUUCGGAGUGACGUGUUGGACGCUAGCGGCGGAUGGGUGAGUAACACGUGGGCAAUCUGCCCUAAAGACUGGGAUACCACUUGGAAACAGGUGCUAAUACCGGAUAACAAUGAUGGUUGCAUGACCAUUAUUUGAAAGGCGGCGCAAGCUGUCACUUUAGGAUGAGCCCGCGGUGCAUUAGCUAGUUGGUGAGGUAACGGCUCACCAAGGCCAUGAUGCAUAGCCGAGUUGAGAGACUGAUCGGGCCACAUUGGGACUGAGACACGGGCCCAAACUCCCACGGGAGGCAGCAGUGGGGAUAUUGCACAAUGGGGAAACCCUGAUGCAGCGACGCCGCGUGGAGGAAGAGGUUUUCGGA